RNAcentral lists this ribosomal RNA (501 nucleotides) under uncultured bacterium. RNAcentral describes it as "partial 16S ribosomal RNA". It matches the Rfam family "Bacterial small subunit ribosomal RNA", at positions 30 to 523 of the family's 1533-position model. The record is from RNAcentral.
AUUGAACGCUGGCGGCAUGCCUUACACAUGCAAGUCGAACGGCAGCACGGGUGCUUGCACCUGGUGGCGAGUGGCGAACGGGUGAGUAAUACAUCGGAACGUACCUUAUCGUGGGGGAUAACGCAGCGAAAGCUGUGCUAAUACCGCAUACGCCCUGAGGGGGAAAGCGGGGGAUCGAAAGACCUCGCGCGAUUAGAGCGGCCGAUGCCUGAUUAGCUUGUUGGUGGGGUAAAAGCCCACCAAGGCGACGAUCAGUAGCUGGUCUGAGAGGACGAUCAGCUACACUGGGAGUGAGACACGGCCCGGACUCCUACGGGAGGCAGCAGUGGGGAAUUUUGGACAAUGGGGGCAACCCUGAUCUAGCAAUGCCGCGUGAGUGAAGAAGGCCUUCGGGUUGUAAAGCUCUUUUGUCAGGGAAGAAACACCGGCUCUAACACAGUCCGGGAAUGACGGUACCUGAAGAAUAAGCACCGGCUAACUUCGUGCCAGCCGCCGCGGUAA